This is a long non-coding RNA of Felis catus (domestic cat), 1757 nucleotides long. RefSeq lists it as uncharacterized. The transcript is spliced from 3 exons. Lineage: Eukaryota; Metazoa; Chordata; Mammalia; Carnivora; Felidae. The record is from RefSeq and is a predicted model, not a curated record.
AUAACUUCCUCAGUAUUAAAGGCAGGUUCAUGGGGAGGGCAGCGCCAUUAAUCACCAGGCUGAAUGGGGCUGGGAUUUGCUGAGAGACGCGCUUGCUGUCUGCUGCGCCCGCCCGGCUCGGGGCGGGAGGGGGCAGGCAGGGAUGCCCCUCCUGAACUGAAGGGGGAAGAAUGAAAUGAUCAGCUCAAGGACAUACAGCUGGUAGUUACCGUCGGCCGUUGCCAAACCCCCAACUCCCAAGUUUCCCCCAAAGUUGAGUGCUCCUUCAACCCGCCGUAAGAGCAUCUCUGAAUGAGAUAAGCAAAAAUGCACAGCAGAUAUUUUUCUGUUUUCAACAGAUAUUUAUUGAGCACCUAAUAGGUACAAGGCAGUGGGCUUGUGCCCAGGAGAGAGGGGAAUGAUUGCCGACCUCUCAAAACAAUGGAGCAGGGGCUGUAAGGAUAAUUGCUCCGGACAACUCGAACACCACUCAGACGGAUUGCCCGGCCUCCCGGCCCCGACACCUCCCACCACCGCAUCAAGCCAAAUUACUUAGCACCCCCCAGCCCCGGGCUCCGGUGAAAAUCCGAUUAGUGAAGAGAGAGCCGCGCUGAGCUGACAGCAGCUCCGAUAAUUGCUUCCCAAGGAAGCGAUGCAAAUCAGCCCAUCCAGCCUGGCCUGCUCCUCUCCGGGGGACCCCGGCGUCCAGGCCCCAGGAGAAGGAGAACACCUGAGUUGGAGAGACCUGGAAGCUGUCACCUGCCUUCGGUUAAGUGACCAUCAAUCCGUAAAGCUGGUCUGUGCUGCCUUGGGGCUGAGGUGGGGGUGGGGGGUGGUGAGGCUGGACCAGGAACCCCACUGGCUCUGCAUUUCUGUCUUCUCUGGGAGCAUGCCACUCUGCCCCUUAUCUCACCCCUUGGAGAAGUAGGCUCUGUACCCAUUUGCCAGUAAGGUAGAGGAAGGCAGAGCGAUAGAAGACGCGGGAACAGGGUGAACCUGUUAACAAAGCAAUGGAUGUGUCCACGGCCGGGCUUCCCCAGUUCUCCCAUUCUGGGAGGGAGGGGAGAGCGGGACAAGAGAGAGUUCUCCCUUUGUGAGUCACCUCCCCACAAGGUUGGGGGAAAACACUGAACGUUAAGUCCCCACAGAGUUGGGAUGGGCCUUCGAUAUGAUAUAUUUUUGGAGGACUGGGAAGCCUGGUCAGCCUUGAGACUUUUGUGCCUGUACCAAGGAGGACAUGUUUUUGGGAUGCGGUGGCCCUUGCUCACCCCACACGUCAGGGAGUUCUCUCCCCUCCCUUAUUCAAGGUCCUUUGAAGGGCCUGCUAAUACCUUUUUUUUUUAGUGCUUUUCCUUCCUACAUCUUUCCCUCAAGUUCUUUCUUUCUCUGACCCUCUCAUCCAAUUUCCUGAUGAUCUUGGAGAACUUCCCUUGCAAUCCCGAACUUCCGGCCCCCACAGCUAGCCCAUAUGGGUCACUGUCUCUGUGGAAAUCUCCAGGGAUGCGUUGCCCAGUCUUGACCUCUGUGCUUGUGUGUCUGAUAUGGCUCUGUGGCCUGGAUCUUGGGUUGUCCGACUAGCAUCUGCCUGAGACCCGGACACACAGUCGCAACAACAAUAACUAACCUUUCUAGAGCACUAUUCUGUGCUAGCCACGGUACUGAGCACCUAUGUAAUGAAGUCAUUUUUUUUUAAUUAAAAAAAAUCUUUAUUUAUUUUUGAGAGACAGAGCGUGAGCAGGGGAGAAGCAGAGAGAGAGAGGGAGACACAGAAUGUGAAG